UAGGGAAUCUUCCACAAUGGGCGCAAGCCUGAUGGAGCAACACCGCGUGAGUGAAGAAGGGUUUCGGCUCGUAAAGCUCUGUUGUUAAAGAAGAACACGUAUGAGAGUAACUGCUCAUACGUUGACGGUAUUUAACCAGAAAGUCACGGCUAACUACGUGCCU
This 163-nucleotide ribosomal RNA is filed under the name uncultured bacterium. RNAcentral describes it as "partial 16S rRNA". It matches the Rfam family "Bacterial small subunit ribosomal RNA", at positions 355 to 510 of the family's 1533-position model. The record is from RNAcentral.